CACACUUAGCGUUUCCCCGACGGCUUACGAAGACUGGUGGGAAGAGGCGUUGAGGCUGCUCUGACGUCCCCGGGGGCUGGGUGAGCCGCUUCGCGCGCAGUGACUUCCCAGCGGCAAGGACGAGAAAACUGAGCAAUCUCGGGGAGCAGCGGAGAGGACACAGGGACAGAGACCCACCCAGAGGUGAGAGGGAGGCAGCCUGUAAUGGGUCUGUGCCUGCUAAACAUCCCGGUCAAGGUCUCCCUGGUUAACCUGAGGUAACCCCACCCCCCAGACUUCUUGUCUUCUCACCCCACUGAGCCGCAGCGGACUUUUUGAUCUUUGCACUUACAAGAAUGCAGAAAGGUAUGUGCUUGUUUUAACUUGUAUCUCUCAGAUUAAAAGACGGAUCAAG
Molecule: long non-coding RNA, 394 nt
Organism: Neogale vison (American mink)
Lineage: Eukaryota; Metazoa; Chordata; Mammalia; Carnivora; Mustelidae
Exons: 2
Source: RefSeq, a predicted model, not a curated record